AAGCAGAGGACAGUGGCGGACGGGUGAGUAACGCGUGAGGAACCUGCCUUUCAGAGGGGGACAACAGUUGGAAACGACUGCUAAUACCGCAUGACACAUAGGUGUCGCAUGGCACUUAUGUCAAAGAUUUAUUGCUGAAAGAUGGCCUCGCGUCUGAUUAGAUAGUUGGUGAGGUAACGGCUCACCAAGUCGACGAUCAGUAGCCGGACUGAGAGGUUGAACGGCCACAUUGGGACUGAGACACGGUCCAGACUCC
RNAcentral lists this ribosomal RNA (256 nucleotides) under uncultured Oscillospiraceae bacterium. RNAcentral's name for it is "partial 16S ribosomal RNA". It matches the Rfam family "Bacterial small subunit ribosomal RNA", at positions 83 to 339 of the family's 1533-position model. The record is from RNAcentral. Lineage: Bacteria; Bacillati; Bacillota; Clostridia; Eubacteriales; Oscillospiraceae.